RNAcentral lists this ribosomal RNA (425 nucleotides) under uncultured bacterium. Its description in RNAcentral is "bacterial SSU rRNA". It matches the Rfam family "Bacterial small subunit ribosomal RNA", at positions 359 to 776 of the family's 1533-position model. The record is from RNAcentral.
GAAUCUUCCGCAAUGGACGAAAGUCUGACGGAGCAACGCCGCGUGAGUGAUGAAGGCUUUCGGGUCGUAAAACUCUGUUGUUAGGGGAGAACAAGUACGGGAGUAACUGCUCGUACCUUGACGGUACCUAACCAGAAAGCCCCGGCUCACUACGUGCCAGCAGCCGCGGUAAUACGUAGGUGGCAAGCGUUAUCCGGAAUUAUUGGGCGUAAAGCGCGCGCAGGCGGUUUCUUAAGUCUGAUGUGAAAGCCCACGGCUCAACCGUGGAGGGUCAUUGGAAACUGGGGAACUUGAGUGCAGAAGAGAAAAGCGGAAUUCCACGUGUAGCGGUGAAAUGCGUAGAGAUGUGGAGGAACACCAGUGGCGAAGGCGGCUUUUUGGUCUGUAACUGACGCUGAGGCGCGAAAGCGUGGGGAGCAAACAGG